This 468-nucleotide ribosomal RNA is filed under the name uncultured bacterium. Its description in RNAcentral is "partial 16S ribosomal RNA". It matches the Rfam family "Bacterial small subunit ribosomal RNA", at positions 28 to 507 of the family's 1533-position model. The record is from RNAcentral.
GACGAACGCUGGCGGCGUGCUUAACACAUGCAAGUCGAACGGUAAGGCCCUGUUUUUGUGGGGUGCUCGAGUGGCGAACGGGUGAGUAACACGUGAGUAACCUGACCUUGACUUUGGGAUAACUUAAGGAAACUGGGGCUAAUAUCGGAUAGGAGCUCCUGCUGCAUGGUGGGGGUUGGAAAGUUUCGGCGGUUGGGGAUGGAUUCGCGGGUUAUCCGCUUGUUGGUGGGGUAGUGGGUUACCAAGGCUUCGACGGGUAGCCGGCCUGAGAGGGUGACCGGCCCCAUUGUGACUCCGAUGGGGCCCAGACGCCUGCGGUAGGCAGCAGUGGGGGAUAUUCCGCAACGGGCGGAAGCCGGAUGCAGCGACGCCGCGUGCGUGAUGACGGCCUUCGGGUUGUAAACCGCUUUCGCCUGUGACGAAGCGUGAGUGACGGUAACGGGUAAAGAAGCACCGGCUAACUACGUG